Molecule: ribosomal RNA, 292 nt
Filed under: uncultured bacterium
Lineage: Bacteria
Description: partial 16S ribosomal RNA
Rfam family: Bacterial small subunit ribosomal RNA
Source: RNAcentral
GUGCCAGCAGCCGCGGUAAUACGUAGGGGGCGAGCGUUAUCCGGAUUUACUGGGCGUAAAGCGCGUUAAGGCGGUUGGCAAAGUUGGUUGUGAAAUCUCAGGGCUCAACCCUGAAAUUGCGACCAAUACUGGUCGACUAGAGUGUGAGAGAGGAAGGUGGAAUUCCCGGUGUAGUAGUGAAAUGCGUAGAUAUCGGGAGGAACACCAGUGGCGAAGGCGGCCUUCUGGCUCAUAACUGACGCUGUAGCGCGAAAGCGUGGGGAGCGAACCGGAUUAGAUACCCGGGUAGUCC